This 243-nucleotide long non-coding RNA is filed under the name Elaeis guineensis (African oil palm). Its description in RNAcentral is "long non-coding RNA (EGUI_LNC005815)". The record is from RNAcentral. Lineage: Eukaryota; Viridiplantae; Streptophyta; Magnoliopsida; Arecales; Arecaceae.
CAAGAAAUAAUUUAUCGAUGAAGGAUAGGACAGUUGAUAGAGUGAGAGAAAUUAUAUCUUAUACUGUGUGCAUCAUGUGACCGUGUAUCAUAUCAAUAAUCAUAUCUUCUUUUUUGGAUCAUAUUCAUGAUAUAUUUAUCUCGAUGAUUGAUCCAUAUGAAGGAGACGCGAUGAUUGGCAUGGUGCAUGUUCAUCUCAGUGCAUAUAGUAUAUGAUAUAAUUUGCUAGAUGGGAAUUGGGGUG